This 481-nucleotide ribosomal RNA is filed under the name uncultured marine bacterium. RNAcentral describes it as "bacterial SSU rRNA". It matches the Rfam family "Bacterial small subunit ribosomal RNA", at positions 419 to 901 of the family's 1533-position model. The record is from RNAcentral.
UGGGUUGUAAACUGCUUUUAUACGGGAAGAAACACUCCUACGUGUAGGAAUUUGACGGUACCGUAAGAAUAAGCAUCGGCUAACUCCGUGCCAGCAGCCGCGGUAAUACGGAGGAUGCAAGCGUUAUCCGGAAUCAUUGGGUUUAAAGGGUCCGUAGGCGGGCAGUUAAGUCAGGGGUGAAAGUUUGCGGCUCAACCGUAAAAUUGCCUCUGAUACUGAUUGUCUUGAAUUAUUAUGAAGUGGUUAGAAUGAGUAGUGUAGCGGUGAAAUGCAUAGAUAUUACUCAGAAUACCGAUUGCGAAGGCAGAUCACUAAUAAUAUAUUGACGCUGAUGGACGAAAGCGUGGGGAGCGAACAGGAUUAGAUACCCUGGUAGUCCACGCCGUAAACGAUGGAUACUAGCUGUUCGGACUUCGGUCUGAGUGGCCAAGCGAAAGUGAUAAGUAUCCCACCUGGGGAGUACGUUCGCAAGAAUGAAACU